This 2902-nucleotide ribosomal RNA is filed under the name Klebsiella pneumoniae. Its description in RNAcentral is "23S ribosomal RNA". It matches the Rfam family "Bacterial large subunit ribosomal RNA". Lineage: Bacteria; Pseudomonadati; Pseudomonadota; Gammaproteobacteria; Enterobacterales; Enterobacteriaceae. The record is from RNAcentral.
GGUUAAGCGACUAAGCGUACACGGUGGAUGCCCUGGCAGUCAGAGGCGAUGAAGGACGUGCUAAUCUGCGAAAAGCGUCGGUAAGGUGAUAUGAACCGUUACAGCCGGCGAUGUCCGAAUGGGGAAACCCAGUGCAAUUCGUUGCACUAUCGUUAACUGAAUACAUAGGUUAACGAGGCGAACCGGGGGAACUGAAACAUCUAAGUACCCCGAGGAAAAGAAAUCAACCGAGAUUCCCCCAGUAGCGGCGAGCGAACGGGGAGCAGCCCAGAGUCUGAAUCAGCUUGUGUGUUAGUGGAACGGUCUGGAAAGUCCGACGGUACAGGGUGAUAGUCCCGUACACCAAAAUGCACAGGCUGUGAACUCGAAGAGUAGGGCGGGACACGUGGUAUCCUGUCUGAAUAUGGGGGGACCAUCCUCCAAGGCUAAAUACUCCUGACUGACCGAUAGUGAACCAGUACCGUGAGGGAAAGGCGAAAAGAACCCCGGCGAGGGGAGUGAAAAAGAACCUGAAACCGUGUACGUACAAGCAGUGGGAGCACCUUCGGGUGUGACUGCGUACCUUUUGUAUAAUGGGUCAGCGACUUAUAUUCUGUAGCAAGGUUAACCGUAUAGGGGAGCCGCAGGGAAACCGAGUCUUAACUGGGCGUUAAGUUGCAGGGUAUAGACCCGAAACCCGGUGAUCUAGCCAUGGGCAGGUUGAAGGUUGGGUAACACUAACUGGAGGACCGAACCGACUAAUGUUGAAAAAUUAGCGGAUGACUUGUGGCUGGGGGUGAAAGGCCAAUCAAACCGGGAGAUAGCUGGUUCUCCCCGAAAGCUAUUUAGGUAGCGCCUCGUGAACUCAUCUUCGGGGGUAGAGCACUGUUUCGGCUAGGGGGUCAUCCCGACUUACCAACCCGAUGCAAACUACGAAUACCGAAGAAUGUUAUCACGGGAGACACACGGCGGGUGCUAACGUCCGUCGUGAAGAGGGAAACAACCCAGACCGCCAGCUAAGGUCCCAAAGUCAUGGUUAAGUGGGAAACGAUGUGGGAAGGCACAGACAGCCAGGAUGUUGGCUUAGAAGCAGCCAUCAUUUAAAGAAAGCGUAAUAGCUCACUGGUCGAGUCGGCCUGCGCGGAAGAUGUAACGGGGCUAAACCAUGCACCGAAGCUGCGGCAGCGACACUAUGUGUUGUUGGGUAGGGGAGCGUUCUGUAAGCCUGCGAAGGUGUGCUGUGAGGCAUGCUGGAGGUAUCAGAAGUGCGAAUGCUGACAUAAGUAACGAUAAAGCGGGUGAAAAGCCCGCUCGCCGGAAGACCAAGGGUUCCUGUCCAACGUUAAUCGGGGCAGGGUGAGUCGACCCCUAAGGCGAGGCCGAAAGGCGUAGUCGAUGGGAAACAGGUUAAUAUUCCUGUACUUGGUGUUACUGCGAAGGGGGGACGGAGAAGGCUAUGUUAGCCGGGCGACGGUUGUCCCGGUUUAAGCAUGUAGGCUGGUUGUCCAGGCAAAUCCGGAUAAUCAAGGCUGAGGUGUGAUGACGAGGCACUACGGUGCUGAAGUAACAAAUGCCCUGCUUCCAGGAAAAGCCUCUAAGCAUCAGGUAACAUCAAAUCGUACCCCAAACCGACACAGGUGGUCAGGUAGAGAAUACCAAGGCGCUUGAGAGAACUCGGGUGAAGGAACUAGGCAAAAUGGUGCCGUAACUUCGGGAGAAGGCACGCUGGUGUGUAGGUGAAGCCCCUGCGGGUGGAGCUGAGACCAGUCGAAGAUACCAGCUGGCUGCAACUGUUUAUUAAAAACACAGCACUGUGCAAACACGAAAGUGGACGUAUACGGUGUGACGCCUGCCCGGUGCCGGAAGGUUAAUUGAUGGGGUUAUCCGUAAGGAGAAGCUCUUGAUCGAAGCCCCGGUAAACGGCGGCCGUAACUAUAACGGUCCUAAGGUAGCGAAAUUCCUUGUCGGGUAAGUUCCGACCUGCACGAAUGGCGUAAUGAUGGCCAGGCUGUCUCCACCCGAGACUCAGUGAAAUUGAACUCGCUGUGAAGAUGCAGUGUACCCGCGGCAAGACGGAAAGACCCCGUGAACCUUUACUAUAGCUUGACACUGAACAUUGAGCCUUGAUGUGUAGGAUAGGUGGGAGGCUUUGAAGCGUGGACGCCAGUCUGCGUGGAGCCAACCUUGAAAUACCACCCUUUAAUGUUUGAUGUUCUAACGUUGGCCCCUUACCGGGGUUGCGGACAGUGUCUGGUGGGUAGUUUGACUGGGGCGGUCUCCUCCCAAAGCGUAACGGAGGAGCACGAAGGUUAGCUAAUCCUGGUCGGACAUCAGGAGGUUAGUGCAAUGGCAUAAGCUAGCUUGACUGCGAGCGUGACGGCGCGAGCAGGUGCGAAAGCAGGUCAUAGUGAUCCGGUGGUUCUGAAUGGAAGGGCCAUCGCUCAACGGAUAAAAGGUACUCCGGGGAUAACAGGCUGAUACCGCCCAAGAGUUCAUAUCGACGGCGGUGUUUGGCACCUCGAUGUCGGCUCAUCACAUCCUGGGGCUGAAGUAGGUCCCAAGGGUAUGGCUGUUCGCCAUUUAAAGUGGUACGCGAGCUGGGUUUAGAACGUCGUGAGACAGUUCGGUCCCUAUCUGCCGUGGGCGCUGGAGAAUUGAGGGGGGCUGCUCCUAGUACGAGAGGACCGGAGUGGACGCAUCACUGGUGUUCGGGUUGUCAUGCCAAUGGCACUGCCCGGUAGCUAAAUGCGGAAGAGAUAAGUGCUGAAAGCAUCUAAGCACGAAACUUGCCCCGAGAUGAGUUCUCCCUGAGACUUUAAGUCUCCUGAAGGAACGUUGAAGACGACGACGUUGAUAGGCCGGGUGUGUAAGCGCAGCGAUGCGUUGAGCUAACCGGUACUAAUGAACCGUGAGGCUUAACCUU